AGCAACAGAAUACGAGCAGUAACACUAAGUUCUUGCUAUUUAAACUUGUUUUAGAUUGGCUCAUGAAAGUUGGGAAACUGUGCAAUCCUUUCACAUGGUGCGCUAAUGGAAAGGUCAAAGACCUUUGGAACAAGAAAAUAAUAUGAAAGGAAAAAAAAAACACCCUCUUUUUGGGCUUGAGAAACUGCUUCUGAAUACAGGAAUUGCUCGUUCAUAAUUUUUGUGGUACAGUUCUACCAAGCACUGUGCUGCAAGAAGGAAAAAAGGCUGAAAGGAUUACAGACUAAAACUCAAACUAUGUAAAUCAUUGAUCUAUGUUCUCUUCUGCCUUAGAAGAAAAAAAAGAUUCAAAAACUUUAGCAUACACCAUUGCAAUUUGAAGGUGCUGCAAAUAAGGAGCAAAACAGAACCUCCAUAUCCAUCUCCACCACUUGCAUUUGUGAGCGCAGAGGAUCCUUAGUCUUACACAGGUGCCCCCCGGCAGCCAAAAUGACACUCCGAUGGGGAAAUGAGACCAG
RNAcentral lists this long non-coding RNA (518 nucleotides) under Numida meleagris (helmeted guineafowl). RNAcentral's name for it is "lncRNA (ENSNMEG00000005461.1)". The record is from RNAcentral. Lineage: Eukaryota; Metazoa; Chordata; Aves; Galliformes; Numididae.